GGACGAACGCUGGCGGCGUGCUUAACACAUGCAAGUCGAACGAUGAAGCCCAGCUUGCUGGGCGGAUUAGUGGCGAACGGGUGAGUAAUACGUGAGUAACCUGCCUUUAACUCUGGGAUAAGCCUUGGAAACGGGGUCUAAUACCGGAUACGACCAACCCUCGCAUGAGGUGUUGGUGGAAAGGGAUUUUGUACUGGUUUUAGAUGGGCUCACGGCCUAUCAGCUUGUUGGUGAGGUAACGGCUCACCAAGGCGACGACGGGUAGCCGGCCUGAGAGGGUGACCGGCCACACUGGGACUGAGACACGGCCCAGACUCCUACGGGAGGCAGCAGUGGGGAAUAUUGCACAAUGGGCGCAAGCCUGAUGCAGCGACGCCGCGUGAGGGAUGACGGCCUUCGGGUUGUAAACCUCUUUCAGCAGGGGAGAAGCGAAAGUGACGGUACCUGCAGAAGAAGCGCCGGCUAACUACGUGCCAGCAGCCGCGGUAAUACGUAGGGCGCGAGCGUUGUCCGGAAUUAUUGGGCGUAAAGAGCUUGUAGGCGGUUUGUCGCGUCUGCUGUGAAAGCCCGGGGCUUAACCCCGGGUUUGCAGUGGGUACGGGCAGACUAGAGUGCAGUAGGGGAGACUGGAAUUCCUGGUGUAGCGGUGAAAUGCGCAGAUAUCAGGAGGAACACCAAUGGCGAAGGCA
RNAcentral lists this ribosomal RNA (689 nucleotides) under Rothia endophytica. Its description in RNAcentral is "bacterial SSU rRNA". It matches the Rfam family "Bacterial small subunit ribosomal RNA", at positions 27 to 723 of the family's 1533-position model. The record is from RNAcentral. Lineage: Bacteria; Bacillati; Actinomycetota; Actinomycetes; Micrococcales; Micrococcaceae.